CAUGACCUGAGCCGAAGUCUGCCGCUUAAUCGACUGAGCCACCCAGGUGACCCAAACUCUCUAUUUAAUAUCUUCAAAAAUAUAAAGUAUUCUAGCAUUUCAUCAUUUUGAGAAAGUUUGUCCAGGAGCAUUCCAGUCUUUUUCACUGGUGUGUAGAAAAGGUCUUACAUAGCCGUUUUCCUGGAAUCUCCCUCCACACCACCCUUCACCUUUUUCUUAGUGACAUUUAUAUCCCGUGUGCUGUUGGGUUGUCCAAUGCUAUUCUGAUUCUUGGUACAUUUUCUUGAUUUUGUUUUCCUUCCUAAAGCUUUUAGGAUCUUCACUUGUACCCUUAUAUUCUAGAAUGUCAUAGAUAUGUCUGGGUGGGUGUCUGUGCUAGUGGGCCUCUCCACUCUGGAAAUUUAUAUCCUUCAGUUCUGGGAAAUUUUCCUGAGUUAUUUCUUUAUGAUUUGCUCACCUUGUUUUCUUUGUUCACCAUUUCUACAAUCACUGUUCUUUAGAUAUUGACCCUCCUAGACUGUUCUUUAAAUUCUGCUUCCUUCCCAGUUUUUAUUUGUGUGUUUAAUUUUUUCAGAGCUAUUUUUUCUUGAUUUUUUAAAGUAUCAUUUUGUUCUUGUUUAAUGAUUGUAAAGUCACUCAUUAAUCUCUCUUGAGGAUAUUAAUAAUUUUUUUUCUUGGUUUUUCUUCUCCCUGCAUAGACUCUUUCCUCCAAGUUGCCUUUCCUGUUUGUUUUGGCCACUGUUUAGUAUUGCAGCUUUUUCUUAAGUGUUUGAUAAUUCUUUGCUAUCUGCUCAUAUUAAAGAGUGGAUGACUAAAAAACUGCUUUCAAAGCAUUGCACAAGAAUAUCCAGAUGGGAGAGUAGCAGGGCUUUCUCUGGAAAAUACCAUAAGCCCAACAGGGAAUAAAGCUAAAGAUAGUAACACUGGGGAUUCCCAAGAAACCAUCCAGCCAGAUCACCUGACAAAGUUGUAUAGAUUAGAAAUGAUACAUACAAAGUCAAAUAAAUGUUGGCUACUUCAGUGUAAUUCUCUAUUCUUUUAAGAACUGAUCCUGAAAUUUUGCAGUUUGGUUAUCUCAGUUGAAAUCUCUUAGCAGAAAUGCCUUUGUAGAUUAUUUUUACAAAUGAUUUUGAGAUUUUUGAAUAUACAUAUGUACUCCUUUUGUUUGCUCCCACCUUUGCCCUCUUAACCUCAUUUUCCUUUCAUUAGGCCAGUAUUUUAGAUCCAAGAACUCAGAGGGAAUUAAAGUGUUCUUUGGAAGAUUUUGUACUGAGAGCUUUUAUCCCUUUAGGAGCAACAAUUAUCUUUAAAGUGUUUGGAGGUGAUGGAGUCAAGCUUUCUUCUUAGUUUGACUUCUCUUAAUGCCAACUGUGUUCCUGACAACACCUCUUGUUCCAAAAAUAGAGAUGACUGUUCUAUAUAAGACCACUUGGGUUAAUGGUCCUACCAUUAAUGCUAAUAUGGCAGGUCUGAAAGCCCACACUCCAAAAGCCAGAAGACACUCUAAUUUUCUUAGUGUAAUUUCUGUUUCUUUCUGGAAACCUGGUGGUCUAGAAUUUUUUCUAGUUAGCAUUUUGAUUAACAGAAGAAGCAUAACUCCAGGGAAAGAAGUCCUAUACUAGUUAAUCCUUUUUUACUUGUUCCUGAUGACUUUCAAGUCAAGAAAGAUGAAGGAGGACUAGACUGGAGGAAAAAAAGGUGAGUAAAGCAGAAAAAAAUUUAGUGCUAUUCAUAUAUAUAUAUAUAUAAAGUGUCUUUAUAAGUUAAAAAGUGUUUUGUGCCUUUCCCCUGCUACUCAUCUACUGAAGAUAUGGAAGUUAGGAGUGUGACCAUUCCAUUCAGAUAUCUAUGACAACAUUGUUUUGUUUUGUUUUGUUUCUAUGUAAAAAAGUAAGCUCUAUCUAUGCCCAAUGCAGAGCUUGAACUCAAAACCCUGAGAUUAAGAGUUGUAUGCUCUAUGGACUGAGCCAGGCACCCCCUUGAUAACAUGUUUUUAAUGUCAUGCAGCAUUGUGGAGUAAUUGCUAAUGAGUUGCUAAGUAAGUAUUGAAUUUAAAAGGCCAACAUUUUAUUUUAGUUUUUAAAAAAGUUUAUGAUUUAUUUUUGAGAGAGAGAGAGAGAGCACAAGCAGGGGAGGGGAAGACAGAACACACAGAAUGUGAAGCAGGCUCCAGGCUCCAAGCCAUCAGUGCAUAGCCCAGUGUGAGGCUAGAACCCACAAACAUGAGAUUGUAACAUGAGCCAAAGUUGGACGCUUAACCAACUGAGCCACCCAGGAGUCUCAAGGCCAACACUUUAGUAAGUUAUAAUAGUUUUGGGAGGUAGAGGUCAAAAAGUUAGUUUGAAAGACUGAGUAGUUUAGAAUUAAAUAUUAUAUAUAUAUAUACACAUACAUACAUACAUAUAUAUAUGUGUAUAUAUAUAUAUACAUAUAUAUACGUGUGUAUAUAUAUAUAUGUGUGUGUAUAUAUAUAUAUAAUAUUUAAUUCUAAAUAUGUAUAUAUAUAUGGAAGUACGGUGGAAGAUAAAGCAGUGUAAGUAGUUUGGGGUUUUGUUCUGGAGGACCAGCCUAAAUACCAUGUGACAAUCCUUGAAUGUUUUUGAACAGCACCAUGACAUGGUGAAAAUCAAGUUUCAGAAAUAAUUAUUUGAUAAGAAUGUGGAAAAUAACUAUUUUCUUUCAACAAGAUAUGUUGACUACCUACCGUUUGCUAAGUAUGUGCCAGGCACUGAGGCUACAAAGCUAAGGAAAGCAGUUUCUGCCUUUGGAAGUAACUACUCUGUAGAAAAAGAUAUAUUAAGAGAAAAAAAAUUUUUUUUUAAUUUAGGUAAGUGCAGUGAUAAUGAUGUAGCUGAGAUGCUAUUAGAUCAUAGAGGAAGGGAACUUAACCUACAUAGGAAUUCUUGAGAAGGUUUUCUGGUGGAUGUGAUACCUUAAUAGCAUCUCAGAAAAUGAAGGAAUGUAGUAACAGAUUUGGAAGAGCAUUCCAGGCAGAGGGAACAGUAUAAGAAAGACCUAGAAACAGAGGCAAACAUGUUAGGUUCAUACCACUAUGGGCACAUCUAGUUUGCUGUGUUCUAAAGCAAAGAGUAGUGUUUGAAGUUAACAAGGACUUUGUAUGCCUUUCUUGUGUUCGAGGUGAGAAAUGCUGCAGGCCUGAACGAGGGAAUUUGUGGUAAGGAUGGUGAGAAAGGGGUAGUUUCUCUCAGAAAAUGAAGGGGUAAAAUCAUUAGAACUAAGUGAUUGGAUUUGGGGGAUGAGAAUAAAAGAGGAGCCCCAAAUUGCUCUUAGAUUUCUGCCUGGUAUUCAGGUAGAUGAGUAGCACCAUUAACUGAGAAUGGACAGGAGAGAGUAGCAAAUCGGGAGUGAAUGCAGCGUUGGACAUUUUGACAUUCAGGUCCAGCAGACCUUUAGAUAUAUAUCUUAAUAUCUUAACAUAUAAUAUCUAUAAUGUCUUAAAUAUAUCUGAAGCAUGGGAGAGUUCAGAAUUAGAGACUUUUGGGGUCAGCUGCCCUGAGUGUCGUUUUAACCACAAGUGUGCAUCAAGCCAUGUCGGUGGUUCUUUGAAGCAGAGUGAAAAUGGUACAUAGAGGAACAGUAGUGUUUAACCAGUGGUAGAGGAAGUCUUACAAAGCAGACUGAUCAUAACUUGUCAAAAGCAAGACAGCCACGAGUAGUAUCACAGAACUCAAGAGAAGAUUUUAUGUUCAAAAUGAAUAAUAUCAAAUGUUCUAGUGGAGGCUAAUUAAAUAUGUACUGAAACCUUGACAGUAGAUUUGACAAUUUGGUGAUCUUUUUUGUUCUCAGGAAAAAGGGAAGGAGUCAGGCCAUAGCUAGAGAGGUACACAGAACUGAAGAAAGGAUUGUGAUAAAAAUGAAGACUGAGCAUGUUUAUAUACUGAAGGUGACAGCAGCUAACGUUUACUGAAGAUGUACUGGAUUCCAGGCCGUCUUCUAAGGGUUUCUUGUAUUAACUCAUUUAUUCCUCACAGUAACCCUAUAAAGUAGAUACUCUUUUCCUCAUUUUACUAAAGAGGAGAGUUAACCACAGAGAGAUUGUCACAUGGCUGACAACUGGUAAAAGAGCAGAAUCAGAAUUUGAACCCUGGGGUUCUGACACAAUAGGCCAGUUAUUUACCCAUAUCCUAUACUGCCUCCAUAGAACUGUAGAGAUUGUAGACAUGGAGAAGAGUGGUAAUUAAUGGAUUAAGAUCAGAAAAGACUGGAGGGGAUAAAGUCAGGAACAUUGGUGAGAGUUUUGGUCUUGAACAGGAGUGAGGAUAUUUAAUUCUUGAAGACCAGAAACCAGGCCUACAGGUGGAGGUGAUUCCUCCUCAGUCUUUUUUCCUUGUCACGAAUUUGAUGAAGAAACCAGGUUUCCACCUGUUGAAUUUCCCAGAGUCUGGAUUUUGCUGAUUGAAUAUCUAUGGGAUGCAAAGUCCCCAGGCUGAAGCCCUAAGCAGAAAGGCUGAUGGAUCCCAUGGUGCACAGGUUUGCACUAGCAGUGGCUAGUUUCACCAAGAAUGAAGGAGUUCUAUACACAUGGUAAAUAAAAAUGCUUUAACAAAAGCUGUUGCUUCUUUAGUCAUCUAUAGACAACAGGGAUGGCCAAAACAUUAUGCAGAAUCAUAGCCUUGCCUUUAUAGUUUUCAGAACUCAAAACAUUUUUCUUGCUGCCAGUAGAGUUUGAGUAAUCUGUCACUACUCAUCAGGAUGAAGUGCCCUGUGGGGGAAGGUAAGAGGGUAUGGCCCUUGCCUGCUGAGAACAUAGUCUUAUCGACCUAGUAUGAUCUACUCAAAGGCUGUCCUCAUCUUUCACGAGGAAGGACACUCAAGUGAUCUGCCAAAUGUUAGAGGAUAACAGAGCACGUGGAUUAUAAAUUUGGGAAGGUAAACACAGGUUCCUGGAUGGUCUCAUUUUUGCCAUCAUGCGAUAAAGGCAGACUCUUAGAGUCGGCUCCACAUUUCAGACCCUUGACCCAGGUGGGAGAACAGUUGAACCUACUUCUUGGAUGCCAAGGUCAUGAUAUGCCCUUUGUAGCUGAGGAUGGUGCAGCCUAAGUACGAAUGCUGUUCCUCCCUUUCCUUUCCUCUCUCAGGCCCUGGGUUGUGGUCAGCAAGAACAUUAGGAACCCCUUGAGAGUUUAUUGCAGAGUGAAUGCUCACAGGAGUUUCAAAUGAGGCAGCAGUGGAUGGUCUGAUACCUGCUUUCAGUGGGCUCUUUCCUUCCCCCAGAACCAUUUCCUGUGCGGACAUUCUCGCAAGGCGUAGGGAAAUUUGCUUCUCAAGAGGGCCAUGUCUAACACAGAGCGGCAUGUCUAUCGUAUUAACAGAGUUCCUUUUCUUAGUACAGAUUUUGGAGAUGGCUUGGGGAAAAGGAAGGAGCCUUAGUCUUAGAGUCAUAGGAGCUAUUUAAGUCCAGGCAGCCUUGACGAGGCCAUGUGAUGUAGCACAGGCUCUCCGGAGUUUCACUGAGUGGGGUUUGAAUGCCAAUGUGCCUUAGACCAGACUCUGUUUCACGUCUGAAGCCUGUGGUGCAGGGAUAGCCACCUGCAGGAUUGUUAGGAGGAAUAGAUAUGAUAAUGUAUGGAGAGUACUUGGGGUGUGGCAGGACUGUUAGUGCAUUCAGGUCGCUUUUCUAAGAUUAUUUCCUCUUGAAGAGUGAAGAUGAUGCCCUAUGAUGUUUAGGGUAGUUGAGAGAAUAAAAUAAUGUAUGCAGUUAUGCUACACAAAUAUAGUAUUGAGAUUAGAGAAGCCCUUCACAAGGAUCUUGGUAACCCAUUCCAGAUUUUUAGCACUCAUCCAUUCAUCCUUACAUCGAACUAGAAUAUUUCCUUCUUUAUUACUGUCCUUUUUUUUUUCUUGACCUUCCAAGAAUGUGAAGUUCAUUUGCUUCAUGAAAAUCUUCAUGCCCUGAAAGAUAUAAUCCCUUCACUCCUAGCCUUUAGGUUUGAAAAAACCAAUCUUGAUUAUUACUGGCAAUUUUCUUAUCUGUAAUUACUUGUUUCUUUAUUCUAAACUCUAACUUUUCCAUUGCUUAUGGUGGCCAAAACAGGAAAUAAUCGAGAAUUUCUCAGACUAAAACAUGGGGGAAAGAUUACUUUCUGUCCCCGGUUCCCCAUUAAAAUAUCUAUAUCUGUAUCUUUAUUAUAAAAGUAACAUCUCUUUGUAUACAUUUUGGAAAAGAGAGAAGGAAAACAGCCCAUAAUUGCAUCAGUACAACUAAUAGUUUCAUGACUGCACAUCUGGCUAUUUUUAUAUACAUAUUUUAUGUAUCUUUAUAGCUUAUAUAUCUUUGUACAUAUCUUACAUAAUCACAGUCAUAUACAAAUAUGAAUCUUACAGUGUGGUGUAUAAUGCUGCUUGUCUUUGGUGGCUAUCUUGUAGAAUUGUAAGGAUUCAAUGCGCUAAGUGCUUAGCACAGUGUCUGGCAUAAAGUUAGUGUCAGUAGGUGGGAGGUAGUUAUUGUAGGACAUUUCCUGAUGGAUGCACAGAAGUGGAUUUACUGGGUCAGAUACUUUUUAGGCUCUUGAUACAUGCCACCUGCCACGUUGCUUUCUAGAAGCCAUUUCAGUUCAUAGAACCCUUGGCACUAGUGAGUUUCACUGCUCCUUAUCAGCAUUUAGAGCUCUCCCAGUACCUCUCCCCCUUUUAUUUUUAGAUUAGGGAAGCUAAUUUAGUAGGUGAAAAUGGUACCUCAUUGUCUAAGUUUCAUUCUUUGAUAACUACCAACCUGUCUUAUAUUUACUAGCAAUGUUUCCUCUUGUAAGGUCGAUGAUCUGUUAAACAAUUGGAAUCACUUAAUGUUUUCUUAUUGAAUUAUGUAGGCUCGUCAGUAAAGAUAUUAAUCCCUUGUCAUAUGGAUUGCAAAUAUUUUUCCCGACUGUUUCCUUAUUUUGGCUAUGAUUUUUUUAAAUUUGCGCAUGCACAUACACACACGCGCAUGCGCGCGCGCGCGCACACACACACACACACACACACACACACACACACACACACACACAACGCGGUCCAUCUCUUCUGUGCCUGAGUCUUGCCAGGUCUGAUGGUAGUACCUUGAGUUCAACAGGGGAGACUCCUCCCAUAGUUACAUGGGCUUCUAAUAACAUGUGUUUUUUUUUUUUUUCUUUUACACAUAUCUUUUAUGGUAAGAGUAAACAGACUCUUCAUAGGCCCAGAGAACACGUUUUCCUUGAUAUAGGGAAAUUAAGUAGAGAGGGAAGGAGCUCACUAGACUAUCGCUUGGUUUUUAUAACAGGUUAUAAUUUCAGCUCUUCGUGACUGGAAUCUUCUACACAUUUUCCGUCUUUUCCUCUAGGACUGGUGUUUCUGAAGAUACCAUUGCAGAUACCUAUUUGGCAAGUGUGUGUUCUACCAAUAUAGGCCCUACCCGAGUUCCCUGAAGAACUCCCACUACCACCUACCCUCAUCCACCGUCUUCACAUGUUUUCUCGCAAGAAGAUGCCAGGUCUUCGUGAGAUCUGGGGGUUAAGGGCAUGGGGCUCUUUGCCUGGAUGAAAUGCUGGUGAAUCUACCUUCUCCUACUACUCUGUUCAACUUCCUUCCCUGCAAGAGAGUGAGCAGUCAUCCCUUGCCCCCGGGGAAGCCUUGUGUGGAUAUCCUUAGUAGAGCAGAGUCGGUCUGCGGGUUCCCUUGCCAAGGAGUCCUGUCCUUUCUAAUCAUCAAGACCUGUACUAAAGGCUCCGAGAGAGCCCAGACAGCUGAUGUGUGAGAGCAGGAGCAGGCCUGCACGGACUUCCUCAUCACUGUGGCCAUCAAUGCACACAAAGGCAUUCCACUGGCUUCUGAGUCUAGAUCUAUAAAUAUAUUUAUUAUAAUAUAACAAGAACUUAACAAUAAACAUAUACUAUGUACAAUACCA
Molecule: long non-coding RNA, 7882 nt
Organism: Felis catus (domestic cat)
Lineage: Eukaryota; Metazoa; Chordata; Mammalia; Carnivora; Felidae
Exons: 3
Source: RefSeq, a predicted model, not a curated record